CUACGGGAUGCACCAGUGAGGAAUAUUGCACAAUGGGGGAAACCCUGAUGCAGCAACGCCGCGUGGAGGAUGACGCAUUUCGGUGUGUAAACUCCUUUUAUCAGAGAAGAAAAUGACGGUAUCUGAUGAAUAAGCUCCGGCUAACUCCGUGCCAGCAGCCGCGGGAAUACGGAGGGAGCAAGCGUUAUUCGGAAUCACUGGGCGUAAAGGACGCGUAGGCGGGUUUUUAAGGCAGGUGUGAAAUCCUAUGGCUCAACCAUAGAACUGCACUUGAAACUGGGGACCUAGAGUAUGGAAGGGGCAGGUGGAAUUAGUGGUGUAGGGGUAAAAUCCGUAGAUAUCACUAGGAAUACCGAAAGCGAAGGCGACCUGCUGGGACAUUACUGACGCUGAGGCGUGAAAGCGUGGGGAGAAAACAGGAUUAGAUACCCUUGUAGUC
RNAcentral lists this ribosomal RNA (439 nucleotides) under uncultured bacterium. RNAcentral describes it as "partial 16S ribosomal RNA". It matches the Rfam family "Bacterial small subunit ribosomal RNA", at positions 339 to 795 of the family's 1533-position model. The record is from RNAcentral.